RNAcentral lists this long non-coding RNA (1518 nucleotides) under Strigops habroptila (Kakapo). RNAcentral's name for it is "lncRNA (ENSSHBG00005001283.1)". The record is from RNAcentral. Lineage: Eukaryota; Metazoa; Chordata; Aves; Psittaciformes; Psittacidae.
AGCAUUAAUAGCUUUAAUUAUUUAUACAGUUACAUCUUCUGAAGCCCCGAAGGCUGAAUUCUUCCCUUGCUAGCAUUUCCCAGCCUAGUUGCCACUUAGGAAGGAAGUCCAUGGUUCUGGCUUCUGAUCUGACCAUUACCCAGGGAAAAGCUUGGGAUUGACAGUACUGAAUACAAACUGCAAAGCCGUACAGAAGUGGUACAUUGUAUUACAUAUUUUUACUUAAACUUCUGUAGUUGAGCUGUUGUCUGCUGGAGCUCUUCAUGUGUUCUGAAGCAUGAUAUGAUGGUAGCUGCCUUCAAGGGUAUAAAAAUAAGCCUCUGGUGUAACAAAGUACAUGUGAUCACUUCAGCUGAAGUGAGAAUGUAUAAAGCAGAAGGUACCUUAAGAAUUCUACUUCUUUGGUAUUAAUCAAACAAUGUAAAUGUCCUUUUUGACUAAGUCAUGAAGACCUCUACUGUAAGUACACAGACUUUAUUCUAAUUAGCUGCUUGGUCAAACUUGGCAUAGAUUGUAUGGUCAAGUGUGUAAUUAUUGUACAAAGUAGUUACGUAUGUGAAACCUGCAUGAGGAAACCAGGGCUGAAUCUCAGACUCACGAGGCAGAUGAGAUAGAAGCUGUUGAUACCAUUCAUCCAUGGUGCUUCCUCUAAGUCUUUGAGAACUAAUAGAUUGGAGUAACCAAGUAUUAACCUGUGUCUUCCUGACAAAACAAACGGGGGAGGUGUGUGUCUGUGAAGCUGGCUCAUCCUGAGCUAUAACAGCAGCAUUACGGGGCUUUAAAGUAGGACUCAAAAAAAACCCCCAAAACUCUACAACCAAGCCUUUGCAGAGUCUGAGGAGAGUGUCAGAGCUUGUGCAGAGGCUAUAUCUCCAGCUACCCCUCUGCACUGCUGACAGAGAAUUGAAAGUCAUUCCUUUGCAGUAGUCUUCCCUUGGUAGUUAGUUAGUAAAUCAAAGUCUAAAUCUUCUUAAAGCCCCUCAGAGUAACUGGCUGCUUGUUCUAUUGCUCAGGCAGUAGUUCAGAACUGCCCAGCAUGUGAUAAACAACUUGGGAGAGCAGGAUGCUUGUUGGUGUAUUUUAUGAGGCUUUGUAUUUGAAUGUUUAAAGGCUUGAACUGCAGGUUUACAGGCAGAAAAGACUUAAGGGGCAAGAGGUGCCUGGCUGUCAAACUGGAAGUAACAUGACCGGUGUAGCUUUGAUACAGGCUGAGCUGUUGUGCAGCUAUGUAAAUUUUUGCACACGCAGGCCUUAUACCUUUCUAGAAGCCUUGCUGCAUAACGCUUCCAUGCUUGCAUCAGCAUCUUAUAGUCUCUGUCAUGUGGAUCAAAAAAUGGUAAGGGAUAUCGAGGAAAGAAAAGCUUAACCUAGAUGCUGUGUUAAAAAUCUAGGGAUGAGUUCGCUUUCCAAUAAUUUUUCCAGAUUUAUUUGUGGAAAAAAAUAGAGUUAUAUAUUUGUCAGAAAAUAUCAAAGCAAAUCAUAAGUGCUGACAUGAACCUUUUUUUUCCCUAAGAAAAA